UAAUUGAAACCACAAGUCACAAUUAUAAAAAGAAAUAAAAAUCCCAUAGGUUGAAAGUAUUGAGUACAAUACAAGUGUCACAUUUCUCAACAUUAGAAACAAAGAAAACCUGAAAAAAUAAUAAAAAACUAAAAUAGUAAAAAAAUACAUUGUAGCUUAUGCUACGGACGCUACGCGCUACGUAGCUAUAGCGUACGCUACGACCCCUGUAGCGUACGCUAUAGGGGAUUUACUCUAUUUGGGACGCUACGUAGCGCUACGGCCACGCUACGCUACGGGCGUUAUUUGAAACACUGGUUUUGUGUUGAGUUUCAGAUGAAUAAGAGCAUUUUACAUGGUUGGGUCCACUCACUAGAUGGAUUAUAUUGCACACAUGUGCCACUUUGAUACUGCAUGGUGUGUAAACAGUCUCUUUUACAUGUGUGUAGCUUAAAAGACCUCGUUUCUUUUGCUAGGAUAAGCAAUAUAUGUUAAAUAUAUCUGAAUUUGCUAUUAAAAUUAACUGGACCCGAUCCAGACUUGACUUUAAUUAGGUCCAUCACAUGGACAUGACUAGAUAUGAUUUUCAACCAGGUGCAAAAGGUGAGGCCUGAACCCAACCCGGUUUCUUAAUUGGUCAAAUAAAUGAGACCCGGACAGUUUGAUUUGGAAGCUAUUGUUGGAAGUGAAGUCAAGUCAUGCUCACUACCCUUGGCAUUACCCCUCCCCCCCUGAAAAUAAAAGAGAAAACGAAGAAGAAGAAGUUGUGGUCUUUGUUUGUUUGGUGGGUAGAAACAGCAUAUUGACCCUUAGUCCGUGAUCCUCCCAACAUUUGUGUAAUGUUUAUGAAUGAUGCCGAGUUAAUUGAUCACAGAUCACAUCGCAUCCAUUGCGCUUUUGCUAAAAAGGUGUGGGUGUGCUUCCUCACUAUCUUUAACGUAUCUUAGGUGACAUAGAAGUCCAUUGAAGACCUCUUGUGGGCUUGGCAUGGUGGAGGAAUCAGAAGGAAAGGUGGUGUGGUGUCUGGUUUUAAUGAGUGUUGUGGGUUAUUUGGGGGGAAUGGAAUGGACGCUGCUUACAAAAUAGUAGUGGAUCCAUUGAAGAGAUGGUGAGAAGGAAUCGGGAAGGAAAGGUGGUGUGGCGUCUUGUUUUAAUGACAAUGUCGUGGUUUAUUUGGGGGGAAUAGAAUAGGCGCUGCAUACAAAAUAGGAGUGGAUCCAUCGAAGAGAUGGUGAGAAAAGUUAAGGUGGAAGUGGUGGAAUGGGCGUCCAAGUUAAAAGCCGCGGACAUCUGUAACCUUUUUAUCUUUUUUUUUUUUUUUUGGGAUGUAAUUUGAUUGGGCUGUAUUCUUUCCCCACCUUGCUAUUACUUUUGCGGGUAUUAUUAAUAAAGUCUCAUUACGUUUAAAGAAAAGGUUAUUAUUAGAAUUGAUGUUAAUAUUCUUUCUA
Magnolia sinica is the source of this 1427-nucleotide long non-coding RNA. RefSeq lists it as uncharacterized. NCBI's taxonomy places the organism in Eukaryota, Viridiplantae, Streptophyta, Magnoliopsida, Magnoliales, Magnoliaceae. The transcript is spliced from 2 exons. The record is from RefSeq and is a predicted model, not a curated record.